Molecule: ribosomal RNA, 252 nt
Filed under: uncultured bacterium
Lineage: Bacteria
Description: partial 16S ribosomal RNA
Rfam family: Bacterial small subunit ribosomal RNA
Source: RNAcentral
GCGAACCUGCGAAGGCAAGCGGAUCUCUUAAAGCCGUUCUCAGUUCGGACUGUAGGCUGCAACUCGCCUACACGAAGCUGGAAUCGCUAGUAAUCGCGGAUCAGCACGCCGCGGUGAAUACGUUCCCGGGCCUUGUACACACCGCCCGUCACACCAUGGGAGUCGGAAAUGCCCGAAGUCUGUGACCCAACCUCAGGGAGGGAGCAGCCGAAGGCAGGUCGGAUGACUGGGGUGAAGUCGUAACAAGGUAGC